RNAcentral lists this transfer RNA (81 nucleotides) under Caudoviricetes sp. RNAcentral describes it as "tRNA-Leu". It matches the Rfam family "tRNA". From Rfam's summary of the family: Transfer RNA (tRNA) molecules are approximately 80 nucleotides in length. Their secondary structure includes four short double-helical elements and three loops (D, anti-codon, and T loops). The record is from RNAcentral. Lineage: Duplodnaviria; Heunggongvirae; Uroviricota; Caudoviricetes.
GGGGAUAUGGUGAAAUGGCAGCCACGCUGGUUUCAAGUCCCAGUGUCGAAAGACGUAUCGGUUCAAAUCCGAUUAUCCCUA